RNAcentral lists this ribosomal RNA (721 nucleotides) under Sphingomonas sp. RNAcentral's name for it is "bacterial SSU rRNA". It matches the Rfam family "Bacterial small subunit ribosomal RNA", at positions 41 to 803 of the family's 1533-position model. The record is from RNAcentral. Lineage: Bacteria; Pseudomonadati; Pseudomonadota; Alphaproteobacteria; Sphingomonadales; Sphingomonadaceae.
GGCUUUCUUUCUGUCUUUGGUGCAUCUCGUACGAUGCUUUCGGGCAUAGUGGCGCACGGGUGCGUAACGCGUGGGAAUCUGCCCUUUGGUCUGGGAUAACUGUUGGAAACGACAGCUAAUACCGGAUGAUGACGUAAGUCCAAAGAUUUAUCGCCAGAGGAUGAGCCCGCGUCGGAUUAGCUAGUUGGUGGGGUAAAGGCCUACCAAGGCGACGAUCCGUAGCUGGUCUGAGAGGAUGAUCAGCCACACUGGGACUGAGACACGGCCCAGACUCCUACGGGAGGCAGCAGUGGGGAAUAUUGGACAAUGGGCGAAAGCCUGAUCCAGCAAUGCCGCGUGAGUGAUGAAGGCCUUAGGGUUGUAAAGCUCUUUUACCCGGGAUGAUAAUGACAGUACCGGGAGAAUAAGCUCCGGCUAACUCCGUGCCAGCAGCCGCGGUAAUACGGAGGGAGCUAGCGUUGUUCGGAAUUACUGGGCGUAAAGCGCACGUAGGCGGCUUUGUAAGUUAGAGGUGAAAGCCUGGAGCUCAACUCCAGAACUGCCUUUGAUACUGCAUGGCUUGAAUCCAGGAGAGGUGAGUGGAAUUCCGAGUGUAGAGGUGACAUUCGUAGAUAUUCGGAAGAACACCAGUGGCGAAGGAGGCUCACUGGACUGGGUAUUGACGCUUAGGUGCGAAAACGUGGGGAACAAACAGGAUUACAUACCCUGUAGUCCCCCCCGU